UACAGAGGUCUCAAGCGAUGUUCGGAUUCAUUGGGCGUAAAGGGUGCGUAGGCGGCGCGGUAAGUCGGGUGUGAAAUCUUGGAGCUUAACUCCGAAACUGCAUUCGAUACUGCCGUGCUUGAGGACUGGAGAGGAGACUGGAAUUUACGGUGUAGCGGUGAAAUGCGUAGAUAUCGUAAGGAAGACCAGUGGCGAAGGCGGGUCUCUGGACAGUUCCUGACGCUGAGGCACGAAGGUCAGGGGAGCAAACGGG
This 253-nucleotide ribosomal RNA is filed under the name uncultured bacterium. Its description in RNAcentral is "partial 16S ribosomal RNA". It matches the Rfam family "Bacterial small subunit ribosomal RNA", at positions 524 to 776 of the family's 1533-position model. The record is from RNAcentral.